RNAcentral lists this ribosomal RNA (834 nucleotides) under Phaeosphaeriaceae sp. Its description in RNAcentral is "partial large subunit ribosomal RNA". It matches the Rfam family "Eukaryotic large subunit ribosomal RNA", at positions 76 to 929 of the family's 3401-position model. Lineage: Eukaryota; Fungi; Ascomycota; Dothideomycetes; Pleosporales; Phaeosphaeriaceae. The record is from RNAcentral.
UGCCCUAGUAACGGCGAGUGAAGCGGCAACAGCUCAAAUUUGAAAUCUGGCUCUUUCAGAGUCCGAGUUGUAAUUUGCAGAGGGCGCUUUGGCGUUGGCAGCGGUCCAAGUUCUUUGGAACAGGACGUCACAGAGGGUGAGAAUCCCGUACGUGGUCGCUAGACUUCGCCGUGUAAAGCCCCUUCGACGAGUCGAGUUGUUUGGGAAUGCAGCUCUAAAUGGGAGGUAAAUUUCUUCUAAAGCUAAAUACUGGCCAGAGACCGAUAGCGCACAAGUAGAGUGAUCGAAAGAUGAAAAGCACUUUGGAAAGAGAGUCAAAUAGCACGUGAAAUUGUUGAAAGGGAAGCGCUUGCAGCCAGACUUGCCUGUAGUUGCUUAUCCAGACUUUUGUCUGGUGCACUCUUCUGCGGGCAGGCCAGCAUCAGUUUGGGCGGUUGGAUAAAGGUCUCUAUCACGUACCUCUCUUCGGGGAGGCCUUAUAGGGGAGACGCCAUGCAACCAGCCCAGACUGAGGUCCGCGCAUCUGCUAGGAUGCUGGCGUAAUGGCUGUAAGCGGCCCGUCUUGAAACACGGACCAAGGAGUCUAACAUCUAUGCGAGUGUUUGGGUGUCAAGCCCAUACGCGUAAUGAAAGUGAACGGAGGUGGGAACCUUUUAGGUGCACCAUCGACCGAUCCUGAUGUCUUCGGAUGGAUUUGAGUAAGAGCAUGGCUGUUGGGACCCGAAAGAUGGUGAACUAUGCUUGAAUAGGGUGAAGCCAGAGGAAACUCUGGUGGAGGCUCGCAGCGGUUCUGACGUGCAAAUCGAUCGUCAAAUUUGGGCAUAGGGGCGAAAG